Small nucleolar RNA from Eptesicus fuscus (big brown bat), 129 nucleotides. RefSeq annotates it as small nucleolar RNA SNORA32. The record is from RefSeq and is a predicted model, not a curated record. The transcript has a single exon. Lineage: Eukaryota; Metazoa; Chordata; Mammalia; Chiroptera; Vespertilionidae.
UGAUCAUUACUAAGGCUUUUAGAAUGCAGUUUCUCAUUUGCCGUGAACAUGACCACAAAACAUUUUCCCAAUAGGUUUUCUUUCUGCUAUGUUGGUAGCAUUGCUAUGUUUAGCCUUUUGGGAACAUUU